GGUGAAUUGUGUUGGUGAUGAGACUCGGUGCCUGAUUGCAUCAGGAACGGGAACAAAGGACAGUAUUCCAUCUCCUUUUGUCACAGCAGCAUGUGCCACUGAAAAUCUCUGCCAGGGCCCCGCAGAUUUUGACUUUUUCCCUGUAAAAUUGGAUGGGUCUGCACAUUGUUGUUCAUCCUCGCUGUGUAACAAUGUUACAUUGCAACAUGUCAUUUCACUCGAGGCUUCUCACCAUGGCUCUUCCAGGAAUUGGAAAUUAGGUUAAAAGGCUGACAGUGUUGGAGUAGAGUCUGUCCCAGCCUGUAACCAUAGUUAGGGUGGGACAGCGAGAUUCUUUGAAGGAUCAAUGCAAAGGUGUAUUGGUUUCAAGCUCUUUAAUUUGGCUCGGUCACUAUCUUAAUGCAGCAAUUAAAGUCUUUCUUUAUGUGUUAAUGAGUGUACAAGAUUGAUGAUUUGUAUUCAGAAUUUGACUGCGGAUUGAUGUGUUCAGCAGAACUUGCAGAAAUAUUGUUAUUUUUUGCCUUACAGACUUGCUUGUAGCUACGUACACCCAUAAUGAGUGAGAAAGAGCUACAAGGGCUGUGUGGCAUCACUGUGUAAGUGGCCAGCUGAGUGUGGGACACAUGAAUACACCAUGUAGCGGACACAAGUGCCUCAGCUGUGCAGUGAAAUGUCCAGAGAUGACUCAAAUUGGUAGCCUCAGGGAAAGUAGCAGGGCACUGCGAGCCGAAUGGGGAAUAUUUGAAAUGUUUUUUUUUUGUUGUGAAUUGAAUGGAGAAACACCAAAAGUGGAGUAAUGAAUGAGGCAAAGGAGGCAGAGAGAAAAGGAUUUUAGAACAUCAAAAACUGAGACGGAAAUAAGUGUGCAUUGCUAACUUAACUGCACACACGCUGCGUGGAGUAAACAUCAUGUAGUCUUCUGGCACAUUGGUAAUGUUCAGACCACUGGCCCAGAAGACCAGGCCUUGUGUCCUACCUGUUCCAGAAAUAUGACAUAACACAUCUGAAAUGUUUGAUUAAAAUGCUUGUGUCCUUAUAGUGCAGGAGUAAUGUGUGAGAUCUAUGCCAGGAGGUCUAAAUUCAAGUCCCACCUGCGCCCGUUGUACCUGAAGAGGCUGAUUUGAAAAAUCUACAAUGAUUGCUCCAUUAAU
This is a long non-coding RNA of Stegostoma tigrinum, 1151 nucleotides long. RefSeq lists it as uncharacterized. The transcript has 3 exons. The record is from RefSeq and is a predicted model, not a curated record. Lineage: Eukaryota; Metazoa; Chordata; Chondrichthyes; Orectolobiformes; Stegostomatidae.